This 2642-nucleotide long non-coding RNA is filed under the name Zea mays. RNAcentral's name for it is "long non-coding RNA (ZMAY_LNC001105)". The record is from RNAcentral. Lineage: Eukaryota; Viridiplantae; Streptophyta; Magnoliopsida; Poales; Poaceae.
UCACAAUAAUCAGAGUACUUAUUACAUAGUGGAAGACUUACAAAAAAUAAAAGAUAAAUAUAACAGGAUCUAAAAUCUAUCCUUGGUGCCAGAAAGUCAACUGGGAGACGCCACCUAGAUCGAAUCGAGCUCCUCAUUAAGCGGCUCCUCUUGAACCACUUGUACUUCUCCUGUGGGGGUGUGAGACAGCAAGGGUGAGCUCACACAAGUUCAUCGCUCAACAAGUUGUGGGGAAUAAUGUGUAUGAACUCAUCAAAGGUGGGAGUUCAUGUGAAGUGUAAGGCUGAUCAACAGAAUAAAGGUUGGAGCUGAGCAUUGCUUUUAUAAGUUGGUCAAAGUUUUAUUAGCAGUUACUAAGUGUAAGUAAAUACCAAACCAUAAUAAAUAAUAGAACAAAAUUAAUAAAUAAUCCCAUGCAAAUGCAUACGACAAAUUGAAUUUAGGUUCCAUAAAUUAAUCAUGUGAGGGUCCAAACUGCUCAUGACCGUGAGCACGGCUAGUAUACCAGUUUUACACUGUGCAGAUGUUGCACAUCUUUACCCACAAGCCAUGUUACCCAUCUGCCAAGGGGUCAUGAAUCCCAUACACCUCUACCAAGGAGGCGAGGCAGGGUAACACUACGAGGCAUUUAUAAAGUUCCACUAGCUUCAGAAAACCUGCUACAGUUUAUAGGAAGCUCCAGUGCAGGAAUCCCUCGUCUAACCGCCAUCGCAUCAAAAUCAACCCAAGGACCUCCCUAGACUGACCACUCCCCUACUGCCCUUGCCUCUUUCGGGUAAGGUAGUCAUCCACUAGCUUUCCUAAUUAAUCAGCCAAGGGCGUCCCAUUAAACCCUUGUGGUAGCACUGUUUUCCCGGGUGGUCGCUCCAUGUUCCCAUUAACAUAAUGAUCUUAUCAUGAACAUAAAUAACCUAACAGAAUAAUAGGAAUAUGGAUAUCAUUAAAUAUUAACCCGAAACCAUAUAAAACAAUAGCAUAGCUACCCAAUUGAUUCCGGGAUAAACAAGGUAAAAAGGAUAACCAGUCUAGGGUGACAUAUUGGGUCCCAUCAAAAUCAAAAUUAAACCUAUGCAUGAAUAAGUGAUAAUAAAUAACAUUAUUGGGUAACAAAAGUGGAUUAAGGGCACAACUUGCCUGACACUUUAGAUUCCAGUUACCAGGGCGAUUCUUCAGAUCCUCGCGACCUCGCGCUAGUCGUAGCACUACAAGCAAACAUGGUAUAGACAAACUUAACAUCACACCAACCAUAAGUACAAACUGAAUAAUAAUACUCUGCACGUUGCUAGGAGAUCGUGGGAUGAGAACCACUAAAAUCGGAGUUACGGUCAAGGAGUUAUGAAUUUCCGAACGUUUUAUGUGUUUAGUACGAAAAUAAUUAAAUGGUCAAGUUUAAUAUAGUUUUAAUGCUAAAACAGAGUCAUUAAGUAAUAAACAAUAUUAAACCAAAAUUAUAGAAAUUGGAACAGGUCAAAAAUGAGUUAAAAUGAAUUUUUUAUGAUUUAAACAAGAUCCUGAAAUUAAUUUUAUAUUAAAAAUCAUUUUCUAUCUCAAUUUCUCUGAUUUUUUCAGUGUCUGGACUGCGCGCGCUAAAAUAGAUAACCUCGGGAUUUAAUAUGCAAAUGUUCCCAAGACUCAGGACCUACCCGCGGAGGACUGCGGGUUUAAUCCGUUAAAAGCUGAGAGCUCUUUUGCACUAUUUCCAGGCCGAAGGGGUAAGGAGAGAUUCGGGCCGUCCGAUCAGGAAUCUAGGGCUCAAGUUAGAUCGACGCAGUACGCGAACCGGUAUUGAAUCCUGGCUGACGGAUCGCCAUCCAACGAUCCACAUUUUAAAUAUCAGAGGUCCCCGCGAUCCAUUCGAUCGACAUCGAACGGACGCGGGCGAAACGCUACCCAGAUCUAAUCCUACGCGAUCAGCCGCCAUCCGACGGUCCCUGAAAACUCCACAAAGGGUACACGGUUUCCUAAUCUAGAGCGUAAUACGGGAGAUCAACGGCUCCUGUCCGUCUUCUUCCCCACGCGACGGCAGUGAACAGUGGCGUUGCCAGCUGCCACGGCGAAGGACGCCGACGAUGGGCCACCCAGUCAUUCCAACGGCCAAACCCCACAUAAAAUAGUGCUAAACAAUGAGGGGUCAACGGCGAACGCGCGGGGAGAGUUCUCAUAUGUGAUGGCGCCCAACAGAGUUCUAUCGACGAGGAAGCACGGCCACGGCGAAAUUUCCAGCCCCGGCGAUCGAUUCGCACCGGCACAGCGCCAAUCCCCGACCCGGGAUACAGCGGACACUUUCCACUACCACCAGCGUUUCACCAAUUCGCGUUUCUGGCGGCCGAACGACGGUGGGGAAGCUCCUGCCUGGUGGAGAAUCGGCCGCGCUCGCACGGCACUCUCACAGCGCGCAACAGCGAACGCCGCCCCCCCGGUAGCCAUGCACACACCCAGCGGCCCCCAGAGAACGAUUCCGCACGGGACGCAGUGGCAGCACCGCUUCCUCCCUCCCAUCCGCUUGCUGGGUGCCCGCAAAGGUGAGAAGCGCCAUUGGCGGUAUUGGAGAUCCACGGCGGAUCGACGACGCGCCCAGAGCAGUGGACGAGUACGGCAGGGACGCGCAAGGGCAAGGGUAGGGCGACGUGGCCCGGUCUUAU